AGGAGAUACAGCUGAAGAGUUCCCUGUGGAAGUGCAAGUGUAUCCCCCUUGGGAAAGUCAUGGACCCAGCAGGUAUCAAAAUGGAGCAGGAUCUUUGUGAGGUUUCUUUAUUCUAGAUUUGCAAGUUUAGAACUUAAAAUUUUAAUCAUUUACCUCUUAAAACUGGCUCUUAACAAAACAAAUUUCAAGAGAGUCCUAUUUAAGACAAACUUACCUGUAGAUAGCACUCAAGCUGAAAAUCUACAUGGGAGGUCAGCGACCCCCGUGGAGGAUCAGCGACCCCCGUGGAGGAUCAGCGACCCCAG
This is a long non-coding RNA of Ochotona curzoniae (black-lipped pika), 305 nucleotides long. RefSeq lists it as uncharacterized. NCBI's taxonomy places the organism in Eukaryota, Metazoa, Chordata, Mammalia, Lagomorpha, Ochotonidae. The record is from RefSeq and is a predicted model, not a curated record. The transcript has 3 exons.